UGCAAGUCGAACGGCAGCAUGAUCUAGCUUGCUAGAUUGAUGGCGAGUGGCGAACGGGUGAGUAAUACAUCGGAACGUGCCCUGUAGUGGGGGAUAACUAGUCGAAAGAUUAGCUAAUACCGCAUACGACCUGAGGGUGAAAGUGGGGGACCGCAAGGCCUCAUGCUAUAGGAGCGGCCGAUGUCUGAUUAGCUAGUUGGUGAGGUAAAGGCUCACCAAGGCGACGAUCAGUAGCUGGUCUGAGAGGACGAUCAGCCACACUGGGACUGAGACACGGCCCAGACUCCUACGGGAGGCAGCAGUGGGGAAUUUUGGACAAUGGGGGCAACCCUGAUCCAGCAAUGCCGCGUGUGUGAAGAAGGCCUUCGGGUUGUAAAGCACUUUUGUCCGGAAAGAAAUCGCACUUACUAAUAUUAGGUGUGGAUGACGGUACCGGAAGAAUAAGGACCGGCUAACUACGUGCCAGCAGCCGCGGUAAUACGUAGGGUCCAAGCGUUAAUCGGAAUUACUGGGCGUAAAGCGUGCGCAGGCGGUUGUGCAAGACCGAUGUGAAAUCCCCGGGCUUAACCUGGGAAUUGCAUUGGUGACUGCACGGCUAGAGUGUGUCAGAGGGGGGUAGAAUUCCACGUGUAGCAGUGAAAUGCGUAGAGAUGUGGAGGAAUACCGAUGGCGAAGGCAGCCCCCUGGGAUAACACUGACGCUCAUGCACGAAAGCGUGGGGAGCAAACAGGAUUAGAUACCCUGGUAGUCCACGCCCUAAACGAUGUCAACUAGUUGUUGGGGAUUCAUUUCCUUAGUAACGUAGCUAACGCGUGAAGUUGACCGCCUGGGGGAGUACGGUCGCAAGAUUAAAACUCAAAGGAAUUGACGGGGACCCGCACAAGCGGUGGAUGAAGGUGGAUUAAUUCGAUGCAACGCGAAAAACCUUACCUACCCUUGACAUGCCACUAACGAAGCAGAGAUGCAUUAGGUGCUCGAAAGAGAAAGUGGACACAGGUGCUGCAUGGCUGUCGUCAGCUCCUGUCCUGAAAAUGUUUGGGUUAAGUCCCCCCACCAAGCGCAACCCUUG
RNAcentral lists this ribosomal RNA (1069 nucleotides) under bacterium. Its description in RNAcentral is "bacterial SSU rRNA". It matches the Rfam family "Bacterial small subunit ribosomal RNA", at positions 56 to 1107 of the family's 1533-position model. The record is from RNAcentral.